RNAcentral lists this ribosomal RNA (468 nucleotides) under uncultured bacterium. RNAcentral's name for it is "partial 16S ribosomal RNA". It matches the Rfam family "Bacterial small subunit ribosomal RNA", at positions 28 to 507 of the family's 1533-position model. The record is from RNAcentral.
GACGAACGCUGGCGGCGUGCUUAACACAUGCAAGUCGAACGGAAAGGCCCUGCUUUUGUGGGGUGCUCGAGUGGCGAACGGGUGAGUAACACGUGAGUAACCUGCCCUUGACUUUGGGAUAACUUCAGGAAACUGGGGCUAAUACCGGAUAGGAGCUCCUGCUGCAUGGUGGGGGUUGGAAAGUUUCGGCGGUUGGGGAUGGACUCGCGGCUUAUCAGCUUGUUGGUGGGGUAGUGGCUUACCAAGGCUUUGACGGGUAGCCGGCAUGAGAGGUUGACCGGAAACAUUGGGACUGAGAUACGGCCCAGACUCCUACGGGAGGCAGCAGUGGGGAAUAUUGCACAAUGGGCGGAAGCCUGAUGCAGCAACGCCGCGUGCGGGAUGACGGCCUUCGGGGUGUAAACAGAUUUCGCCUGUGACGAAGCGUGAGUGACGGUAAUGGGUAAAGAAGCACCGGCUAACUACGUG